Molecule: non-coding RNA, 69 nt
Organism: Gopherus evgoodei (Goodes thornscrub tortoise)
Lineage: Eukaryota; Metazoa; Chordata; Testudines; Testudinidae
Source: the annotation of a RefSeq genome assembly
CAAAAGAUAGUUUAGUAAAAAUUUCGGCUUUGGGGGCCGAGGAUGGAGGUUUUAGUCCUUCUUUUUUGA